Molecule: ribosomal RNA, 466 nt
Filed under: uncultured bacterium
Lineage: Bacteria
Description: bacterial SSU rRNA
Rfam family: Bacterial small subunit ribosomal RNA
Source: RNAcentral
AACGCUGGCGGCGUGCUUCAUACAUGCAAGUCGAACGCGAAGUCACCUUCGGGUGAUGGAAAGUGGCGGACGGGUGAGUAAUGUGUAGAGAAUCUGCCCUUUAGCGGGGGACAACAGUUGGAAACGACUGCUAAUACCCCAUAUGCGCGUAGCUGAGAUGCUAUUCGUGAAAACUCCGGUGCUAAAGGAUGAGUCUGCAUCUGAUUAGCUAGUUGGGGGUGUAAUGGACCACCAAGGCGACGAUCAGUAGCUGGUUUGAGAGGAUGAUCAGCCACAAUGGGACUGAGACACGGCCCAUACUCCUACGGGAGGCAGCAGUAGGGAAUUUUGCGCAAUGGGGGCAACCCUGACGCCAGCAACGCCGCGUGAUUGAAUAAGCCCUUCGGGGUGUAAAGAUCUGUCAGUGGGGACGAAACUUGACGGUACCCACAGAGGAAGCAUCGGCUAACUCCGUGCCAGCCGCUGC